Long non-coding RNA from Lacerta agilis (Sand lizard), 986 nucleotides. RefSeq lists it as uncharacterized. Lineage: Eukaryota; Metazoa; Chordata; Lepidosauria; Squamata; Lacertidae. The transcript has 2 exons. The record is from RefSeq and is a predicted model, not a curated record.
AGAAGGCGAUUGGGCCGGAUCCGGCCCCCGGGCCUUAGUUUGCCUACCAAUGCCCUAGGUCAGGUACGUCCAACGGGUAGAUUGCGAUCUACUGGUAGAUUGCAGGGUGUGCCUGGUAGAUCUCUGCCCCCUCAGUGAUCUACUCCCCCCUGAAAAAACGUUCAAUAACUUUGGCUUCCCCAAAAAAGCUCAACAAUGUUGGCUUCCUAAAAAAAGCUCUACAACUUUGACUUUCCAAAGAGAAGUUCACCAACUCUGGAUUCCUUAAAAAAAAAGCUCAGCCACCUUUGUUUCCUAGCCAAAAAAGGGGCCAUCAGAUUAAGUCCCACUAUAUAGAACUGAGGAUUCAGGACCCUCAACUGUGUUUUAUAUAAUCAACUUUUGAUUAUGUUCUGUGUAUCUCACAAUGCUCAUUCAGUUCCAUUCAUUCAUUUGCUCCCUAAAAAAAAAAAAGCUCAACCAACUUGGCUUCCCCAAAAAAGCUCCAUACUUUUGAUCCAUCCAACAACAACGGGUGGAUCACUGCCAGUAUUUUUUUACACUGUGAGUAGAUCACAGUCUCUUGGGAAUUGGACAUCCCUGCCCUAGGGAUGCCAUAGUAUGUCAAUAUGCAGAUCUGAUCAGCAUCACAAGGUCCGGCCCAGACACUUCUCCAGAAAACCUGGCCUUUCCAGAUUAACAAACGAAACCCUGGAUGCGCAUGAAGGAACAAAACGCAAACGUUUGUGACACGCAAUUUCCUCCACCCAUUCUUACUUGGUACUUGUACCUGUUAUCACACCCAAGGUCACUUCCGAUGAAGUGUCUCACGGGGAAUUAAGGCGAGGGGGGUUAUGGAAAGCCACGUGUGCUUGGUUCAAUACUGUACAAAAAGUAAGAAACGUCUCCUGUUUUGGGUCUUCUUUCCUCCUUGGCGAGACUGGCUUUGACCCUGCUGCUGCAAAAAUCUCAAAUAAAGGUCCAGCAUCUGUGCUGCUUUGAUUCAG